Molecule: long non-coding RNA, 4069 nt
Filed under: Mytilus galloprovincialis (Mediterranean mussel)
Lineage: Eukaryota; Metazoa; Mollusca; Bivalvia; Mytilida; Mytilidae
Source: RNAcentral
UGAAUACCUUUUGAUCGACAUGUAUAACAAAAUAAAUAUAAUCAAAAAGUUUAAGCAAUGCUUUAAUUGUGGCCACUCAGUGGCCUUUAGGUCAAAUAGGAUUGUUAGUAUGCUAUUUUUCAUCUGUUUGUACUUUGAUGAGUGACUGUGGAUCUACAGCAGCUUAAUAACAUUUCUGAUCCGUUGAGCAGUUUGAUUUAAUACAACAAAUUGCAAUUUAGUCAAAAUGUUCAUUUAAUUACAAUAGGUGGACAACAAGACUUAGAAUCGAGUCACUGUAAAAUGAUUUAAUGAAUAGUAUUGAGACAUUGUUAACAAUGGAAUAGGGAAUUCCGUUUUCUACAAAAGCUCUGAUUGUCAAUUUUAUCACAAUAACAGGAUCCUUCAAAUAUAUCGUACCAAAUUUCAGUUUACCUGGUCAUAACAAAUAUAGGCACCGUUGGAAAACAAAGAAAAAAUGAAUCAAUAAAAAUGUAAGCCUUUUAUAUAAUUAUUCGAAUGUAACAUAAACUAUCUAAAAAAAACAUUAUCACUUAAGUAAACAGACAAGCAGCUUUAAAUGUAAUAUAAAUAUAAUGCAUGUAAAAUAAAUUAUACUGUAGAUGUCAUUUCCAGGCAUUUAUAUUUUUAAAGCCCAAUACAUCUUAAACAACGGUUAAUUCCUUUCUAUUAACUGGUAUGGUCGAUCUUGAGAACUGAAAGGUCAAUUCAUUCAAUUUAUACAAUAAAAGGAGUGAUAUUAGUGGUUUAAAUCGUCCUUUUACAUGUUAGUCUUAUUUUAACUCAUAAAAUGGUGUAUAAGUACUGUUUAUUUACAUCAAACGUCAAUUGAGUCGUCAAUUGAGUCGUCAAUUAAUGUCAUCAAUUUGCCUUUAUAACUUACUAUUAAGCAUUGGUUUUGUAUUUUUUUGAAAGCUGCAUAGUUACCUAUAUUUGUUCCCUUUGGUAGAGAGUUGUCUAGUUGGCAAUCACAUCACACCUCCUUAUUUUAUAUCCAGAAUUAAGUUUACAUAAAAAGAUCUUUUUUGCCAUACAAGACCAACGUUUUUUUCAAAACUUACAUCAAAUACAUUAAUGCGAUAUAAAACCUUAAAGCACAUCCAUUUGUUUAACAGUGAUAAAAUCAAAAUUGCUAUUACAUGUCUAUCAAUUUUUAUGAAUUGCAUUUGGCAGCUUCCAUAUUGCAGAUAUGAAAUGGAUUUGGCUACGUUUUGAUUUACAAGAAUUUCAUUUGUCAAGUAAUAUCUCUUUAUUUCAAUCUGACUAAUGGCUUGACUAGCAGGUCAAAUUCAAUUCUGACCAGUUAUUGCAUAAAGUUUUUCACUAUAAACCACAAUAUACAAGGCUUAAACAUUGUGACUGAAACUCUUCUUUUUCUCCAUGAAAACCCUCUUUCAAAAAGAAACUAUAAAAACUAAACAUUAAUCUUUCCUUACAAAACCCAUGGUUCCAUGCCUGCAUGGAUUGUUACAUUCCAACGAGUCUGCACUAUAAAUCACAAACACCAGAGAUAUCAAUCAGCUCAUGAGAUCUGAAUGUUGUAACUCAUCAAAAAUCGUCCUACUAUUUUUAAUUGUUGCUUGAAAAUUCUUAUACCACCCACUGGAAACAAGUAAAAUAUUACUAUCAGCAACUGAUUAAAUAAUUUUGUGAAUAAAAGUAUAUGUAUGGUUCCACUUACAUCAUGAACAUUAAUAGGGCAGGUAGAUCCGCAAUUUCUCUGUUUUUUUUUCUGUUUAUAUGCUUGCUGUAGAAUAAACAUAUAUGUUACAUUUCUAGUUAGUUUUGUUGCAUUCUGUGAAGAAUUUGUUGCAUUUUAGUCUUAGUGGAUACUUUUAUAAUGAAAAUUAAGAUGACAGAAGUCUGUGAAUUUAAUUACUGAAAUUCAUAAUCCACAAAAUGGGAUCAUUCAAAAAUAAUUUUUCAAAUAUGGAAAAAAAAUCUAGGGUUCCAAGGGUUUAAACAAGGGUCAGUGGUAAGUCAAACUCCCAUUAAACUUUUAUUUUGCCUCAGGAGUCCUCACAUUCUCUUGGUAUCAUUAUAUUUAAAAUAGAGGUAAAGGAAAGUUACAAAUCUCAUAAACUGAUUGAUAUCUCUGUAAUCAACACAAGGCUUAUAUAUUUUUCUAUAUCUAAACAAUUUUCUUCUUCAAGGUGAUAAUAUAACUUCAAUAUCUCUUAUCAAAGAAUUCAAUAUCUACUUCCCAUAAAAUAUAAAUCUAAUGUUGAAUUAUAAAAUCAAGAAGCAUGCAUAAAUGAUCAGUGACACACUAAAAACAUUCUAAGCUUAACUCAAAUUUCUACUUAAAUCAUAUCAAUUCCAUUUAGGAAUUAAUCAACCACACUUAGAAAAAGGAGAGGGUUUCUGCAGUGUUGGGACAUCAAAUGACAGAAUUUUUUUAUUUUAAAAUGUUUCUUUUUUUAUCGUUUAUUCACAACUUCAUGAAUAAGUGGGUUUUUAAAGCCAAAAAAGAAAUAACAAUACAUGUCAAACUAAUACAGCUAUCAUAUGAAAACUAAAACAUGUGUUAACUCCAUUCCAGUAUAUUUGAAUACCUAUUUCCAAAUUACUACAUUGUUAUACUAUCUUCAUUCACUCAGUUGAACUGGUUUUAACAUAUUGAUAUUACAAUCUAAACGAGUCUUGUAAUAUCUUCUCAACAGCACUCUUAUCCAAUCAAACUACUUAAUAUGAUAAGAAUAACUUAGAUACCUCAUAAGCAUUGAAUUUAAUGUUUUCAAAGAGGCCAUAAAUAUGACCAGGCUACAAGAAAUAUUGAGAGUUCAGAAAAAUAUAAUACUAAUAAAAAUUCUAUUGCUUAUAAAAUUUUGCAAUCAUUCAAACAUUUUCUAUGAAAUGGUCAAUAUUUUCUUUUUAUGUCAUGACUUUGCUAAUCAGUAUUGAAAUGACAAACAAAUGAUAUAACAAACAAAAAUGUGUAGUUGGUCAUCAAGUUAUAUAAAUUAAAUAAAAAACAUGCUUAACUGUGUAUACAUGUUUUCCCUUUGAUACCGAUAACUUUUAUAUAUAAGGGACUAUUUCCGAUACAUUUCAGAUCAUGCUCAGUAUAAAUUAGUUCAACAAGGAAAAUGUGAUAAUUUCCUGUUAAGGUGGUACCCAACACUUUCAUUAAAAUUAAUUUGGCUCGUUUAAUUUUCAUAAAACUUUGUCAAAGUAUUUCCUUUGAGACUUUAAUAAAAAUAUAAAAUUUUUUGAGAACCAACCGUUUUGUCAGAAAAAUUACACUGGUUAUAUAGCAAUUUGACAAACACCAAUUUUGAUCAUUGAGAAGCUUAAUAUUCCUUUUACAACACAACGUAAUUAAAACGUUUAGCUGAUUUUACAGAGUUAUCUCCCUGUAGUGUUAGGUACCUCCUUAAGUAAGCAAAUGUAUCUUAGAUGUUCUCCUUGGUAUGGUCAUCUGUUUGCAUAGAAGAGUCUAAAGUGUUAAUUUCAUUCAGUAACUACAUACCAACAAUCAGUAAACCAGAAGUAAAUGUAUAGUUAAAACAGUUCCCCUUUAAUAUAAAUAAUAACUUGCAUACAUUCAAUUAAUUUGUCAAGUUUUCUAGAUUAGUGGUUGAGUAAACAUUUAAACUAAAAAUAUGUUAUUGUUGAUACCCUUAACAAAAACAAAAAUAUAAUCAAAACAAAUUUAAUAUCCAUCAAUUAUAACCUGAUUACACUGUACAUAACAGUGUAAAUUUGUAAGUUAUCACAGUUCAUUGUGCAUCAAUUUUUAUUUUAGAGUUACCCUUAAAUGUAAUAUACCCUCUGGCCUCUGUGCAUAAAUACAUUUUCAUUCAAAUAUGAUUUUAUAGUCAAAUAAUAUGGUUUUAUAUAUUUAUGUUAACCUGUCAUUUGUCUGUCAAAGACGUUUUAUUUUCACUGCAUUCAAAUUCAAUAUACUGUGGAUUCAUUAUAUGUUGUGUACCAAUUUACACAGGUAUAUCAAUACCACGAAUUCAAAUGUUUAACAAAAUAUAAAUAUUCUAUAGCUUUACAUGUAAAAUUUGGCAAAACCAUUAAAUCAUAUAGCCACAAAAAUUGAUUCCACUUAAAAUAAACG